RNAcentral lists this ribosomal RNA (468 nucleotides) under uncultured Cellulomonas sp. RNAcentral's name for it is "bacterial SSU rRNA". It matches the Rfam family "Bacterial small subunit ribosomal RNA", at positions 916 to 1381 of the family's 1533-position model. The record is from RNAcentral. Lineage: Bacteria; Bacillati; Actinomycetota; Actinomycetes; Micrococcales; Cellulomonadaceae.
GACGGGGCCCGCACAAGCGGCGGAGCAUGCGGAUUAAUUCGAUGCAACGCGAAGAACCUUACCAAGGCUUGACAUACACCGGUAACGCCCAGAGAUGGGUGCCCCUUUGUGGUCGGUGGACAGGUGGUGCAUGGUUGUCGUCAGCUCGUGUCGUGAGAUGUUGGGUUAAGUCCCGCAACGAGCGCAACCCUCGUCCUAUGUUGCCAGCGGGUCAUGCCGGGGACUCAUGGGAGACUGCCGGGGUCAACUCGGAGGAAGGUGGGGAUGACGUCAAAUCAUCAUGCCCCUUAUGUCUUGGGCUUCACGCAUGCUACAAUGGCCGGUACAAAGGGCUGCGAUACCGCGAGGUGGAGCGAAUCCCAGAAAGCCGGUCUCAGUUCGGAUUGGGGUCUGCAACUCGACCCCAUGAAGUCGGAGUCGCUAGUAAUCGCAGAUCAGCAUGUCGCGGUGAAUACGUUCCCGGGUCUU